Molecule: RNA transcript, 1621 nt
Organism: Salvia splendens (bonfire salvia)
Lineage: Eukaryota; Viridiplantae; Streptophyta; Magnoliopsida; Lamiales; Lamiaceae
Gene name: PQ-loop repeat family protein / transmembrane family protein
Exons: 14
Source: RefSeq, a predicted model, not a curated record
GUGUAGGUAUGCCACCUUGCCGAAUCCCAUGAGGAUUCACGUUGUGAAUCUUCAAGUCCUUUCACAAUUAAAACCUAAUAUAAACACAUUUCAUCGCCGCCAUUGUUUUCUGCUAUCAAUCCACACCUUAGCCUCAAUACACAGAUCGAUUACUUUGAUUUGUUAUUUGCGCUCCAUCAAUUUGAAUUUUCACGUUAUUUGGAAUGGGGUGGUGCCCUGUUGAUGAGCGGCGGUGGCUCUGCAGCACUCAUCACUUGUUCUCCGUGGCGCUGGGCUUCGUUAGUGUGGUCAGCUGGUGUGUGGCUGAGAUACCUCAGAUCAUCACCAAUUACAGAAACAAAUCAGCUGAGGGCCUCUCCAUUCUCUUUCUCAUCACAUGGAUUGUGGGAGAUUCUUUCAACCUUUUUGGCUGCAUACUAGAACCAGAGACUCUUCCAACACAAUAUUAUACAGCAGUGUUAUAUGCAGUAACUACUAUUAUUCUUACCUUACAAGCGGUUUAUUAUGUCCACAUUUAUCCACGACUGAAGUCCAACAACAGGAGGCAGGAGGCUGUGCAAACUGAAGCUGCAGAGAGAAGAGAGCACAAUAAUGAUUCUGAUAAUGAAAAUGGCAGUUUUGUACAGAGAUGGGGAGUGCCUCCAAGUUCAACUACUCAUGUCGUAUCCAGAUCACCCAGUAGCUAUGAUGAGCUAUAUUUCAUGUCAGCAAGAUCACUUUCAGUAAGUCGGACACCUCCUGCAGGGUCCUUCCUCGGUCCGAGAAGUCCUCUUUUGGACAUCGAGCAACGUUGGUUCAGAGAACCAUUGUUAGGUGAAGGCAGGUCACCAAAAUCUGGUACUCCAAAAAUCAAAACCAUGCUGUGUGUGGUUUCCUUGAUGACAUUCUUAGUGGGCAGUCACAACCACCUACGAUCAGAAAAACUUGUAAACAAUUCAGUUCUCAAAAAUCCAACAGGGGGCAUCGUGUUGCAAGUUGGAAGAAAACUUUUAGAGGCUAUGGGAAGUUCAGCACACGAUAAUUUGGCUGCAAGCUUCAGUGGUAUAGGGUCCGUCCUUGGUUGGGGAAUGGCAGCUAUCUACAUGGGUGGACGUCUACCUCAGAUUUACCUUAAUAUUAAAAGGGGGCAUACAGAGGGGCUUAACCCAUUGAUGUUUGUCUUUGCUGUUAUUGGCAAUACUACAUAUGUGGCAAGCAUCCUGGUUAACAGCUUAAACUGGUUAAAAGUAAAACCUAAUCUUCCUUGGCUGGUGGACGCUGGGGGAUGUGUAAUUCUUGAUGUUUUUAUACUCAUUCAGUUUGCCUACUUCCGUUAUCGACGGAGGAAUGAAGUAGAGAAGUAUAUCUCUUGAAUGACCUCUAAAGAUCAUGAAUAAACAGAGCCUCAGGUAGCCUCUUACAUGAACUGGACAUUGAACAAUUGUGGAGGGAAGGGACUCUUCUCUGACUGCAUUAGAUCGAUCACCUUACCUCUGUAACUCAGCAGCACUACCAUAUUCUUUUUCUUUGUUAUGUUAAACGAUUUGAACGCCUAUAACUAGUCUAUCACUAGAAUUUAUGUCCAUUUGCCAACUGUGCUUCAAAUUUUGUGGUAAGAUAUCUUGUAAAUUCAGCUCACAUA